CCAAAGGCCCUUCUUAAGGCCACGCACAAUUCCACUUAAUUUCUUU
This is a non-coding RNA of Schistosoma margrebowiei, 46 nucleotides long. The record is from Rfam. Lineage: Eukaryota; Metazoa; Platyhelminthes; Trematoda; Strigeidida; Schistosomatidae.